UUGCGGCUGGAUCACCUCCUUUCUGGAAACAAGUAAUCAAUCUCAAACGCCCACACUUAUCGGUUGUUGGAAGGCAUCGAAUCUUUCGAUUAAUGGGUCUGUAGCUCAGCUGGUUAGAGCACCGUCUUGAUAAGGCGGGGGUCGUUGGUUCGAGUCCAACUAGACCCACCAAAUCUUUCCUUGCAGCAAUGUGAGGUCCCUGGGGGAUUAGCUCAGCUGGGAGAGCACCUGCUUUGCAAGCAGGGGGUCGUCGGUUCGAUCCCGUCAUCCUCCACCAUCCGAUGCCUCGAAAAAUCAACACCAAAGCAGCUUUGCAGUAGCAAGGCUUCUUUGUUGUUGAUCGAUAUCCAUCGAUCAAUCGGCUGUUCUUUAACAAUUC
RNAcentral lists this unclassified non-coding RNA (379 nucleotides) under Paracidovorax avenae. Its description in RNAcentral is "Acidovorax avenae partial 16S-23S ribosomal RNA intergenic spacer". The stretch from base 95 to 168 matches the Rfam family "tRNA". The record is from RNAcentral. Lineage: Bacteria; Pseudomonadati; Pseudomonadota; Betaproteobacteria; Burkholderiales; Comamonadaceae.